AUUGAACGCUGGCGGCAGGCGUAACACAUGCAAGUCGAGCGGAUGAAGGGAGCUUGCUCCUGGAUUCAGCAGCGGACGGGUGAGUAAUGCCUAGGAAUCUGCCUGGUAGUGGGGGAUAACGUCCGGAAACGGGCGCUAAUACCGCAUACGUCCUGAGGGAGAAAGUGGGGGAUCUUCGGACCUCACGCUAUCAGAUGAGCCUAGGUCGGAUUAGCUAGUUGGUGGGGUAAAGGCCUACCAAGGCGACGAUCCGUAACUGGUCUGAGAGGAUGAUCAGUCACACUGGAACUGAGACACGGUCCAGACUCCUACGGGAGGCAGCAGUGGGGAAUAUUGGACAAUGGGCGAAAGCCUGAUCCAGCCAUGCCGCGUGUGUGAAGAAGGUCUUCGGAUUGUAAAGCACUUUAAGUUGGGAGGAAGGGCAGUAAGUUAAUACCUUGCUGUUUUGACGUUACCAACAGAAUAAGCACCGGCUAACUUCGUG
Molecule: ribosomal RNA, 484 nt
Filed under: uncultured bacterium
Lineage: Bacteria
Description: partial 16S ribosomal RNA
Rfam family: Bacterial small subunit ribosomal RNA
Source: RNAcentral